Small nuclear RNA from Pygocentrus nattereri (red-bellied piranha), 191 nucleotides. Its record names the gene U2. It matches the Rfam family "U2 spliceosomal RNA". Rfam says of the family: U2 is a small nuclear RNA (snRNA) component of the spliceosome (involved in pre-mRNA splicing). The record is from Ensembl. Lineage: Eukaryota; Metazoa; Chordata; Actinopteri; Characiformes; Serrasalmidae.
AUCCCUUCUCGGCCUUUUGGCUAAGAUCAAGUGUAGUAUCUGUUCUUAUCAGUUUAAUAUCUGAUACGUCCCCUACCCGGGGACCAUAUAUUAAAUUGAUUUUUGGAGCAGGGAGAUGGAAUAGGGGCUUGCUCCGUCCACUCCACGCAUCGACCCGGUAUUGCAGUACCUCCGGGAACGGUGCACCCCCC